AAUCAAGCCUGGGCAAUGGCGGGUGCCCCUCCCCCAGCCUCGCUGCCGCCUUGCAGUUUGAUCUCAGACUGCUGUGCUAGCAAUCAACGAGACUCUGUGGGCGUAGGACCCUCCGAGCCAGGUGUGGGAUAUAAUCUCGUGGAGCGCCAUUUUUUAAGCCAGUCGGAAAAGCGCAGUAUUCGGGUGGGAGUGACCCGAUUUUCCAGGUGCCAUCCGUCACCCCUUUCUUUGACUCAGAAAGGGAACUCCCUGACCCCUUGCGCUUCCCAAGUGAGGCAAUGCCUCACCCUGCUUCGGCUCGCGCAUGGUGCGCGCACCCACUGACCUGCGCCCACUGUCUGGCACUCCCUAGUGAGAUGAACCCCGUACCUCAGAUGGAAAUGCAGAAAUCACCGUCUUCUGCGUCGCCCACGCUGGAAGCUGUAGACCGGAACUGUUCCUAUUCGGCCAUCUUGGCUCCUCCUCGCAGAUUGUUUUGCUUAUUGGUGUUUAAUUAAAAACCAAACAACUUUUCCUAUUAACUUGAUGCUACUUAUUAAUUGAAAUGAGGAGACUGACUCUGGAUAUUGGGAAAAUUUAUGGGCACAUACAGAGGAAAAGACAUGUGGGGACAUAAUGAGAGGACAGCCAUCUGCAAGCCAAGAAGAGAAUCCUCACCAGAAACCAACUUGACUGGAAUCUUGAUCUUGAACUUCUUGCUUCCAGAAUUAUGAGAAAAUAAAUUGUUGUUUAACCCACACAGUCUAUUGUACUUAGUUGUAGCAGUCUGAGAAGACUAAUACAUUGAUAAACUGGUCAGUUACAACAAUGAAUAUAUUAUUUAUACAUUAUAUAAAUGAUUAUAGUUUCUGUAUUAGCUUAGAUUUUGCAAAUUUGUCAAUAGCUUUGUCCAAGUUGAUUUUCUUUAUAUAUUCCUAUUUCAUAGACUAUAUUAGCUAGAUUUGUCAAUCUAUCUUACUCAUAAUGACUGAAGAACACUUUUAAAUUCAAUUUAAAAGGUUUUUGUCACAUAAAGCAACAAAUAUAAAACUAGAAAAAAUAUAAAUAUGAAUAUAAAUUUGAAGGAAAUUAAUAAAAAUCGUAUUGUACCAUAUAUUCCAGAAAUUUUAAACACUGAUGAAAACUUCAAGUGGUACCAAGGAAUGAGAGAAUUGAAGUAAUUCAAGUGUUAUAUUUCAUCUUUUCUAUCACUAGGUUGUCAUCAAUUAUUUCAAAUCUGUUUUUUUUUUUAUUGUAAUUAAACUUCUAAGUUCAGGG
Homo sapiens (human) is the source of this 1257-nucleotide long non-coding RNA. Ensembl annotates it as long intergenic non-protein coding RNA 2428. NCBI's taxonomy places the organism in Eukaryota, Metazoa, Chordata, Mammalia, Primates, Hominidae. The record is from Ensembl.